RNAcentral lists this ribosomal RNA (431 nucleotides) under uncultured bacterium. RNAcentral describes it as "partial 16S ribosomal RNA". It matches the Rfam family "Bacterial small subunit ribosomal RNA", at positions 29 to 507 of the family's 1533-position model. The record is from RNAcentral.
AACGAACGCUGGCGGCAGGCUUAACACAUGCAAGUCGAGCGCCCCGCCAGGGGCGCGGCAGACGGGUGAGUAACGCGUGGGAACGUACCUUUUGGUUCGGAACAACUCCGGGAAACUGGAGCUAAUACCGGAUAAGCCCUAACGGGGAAAGAUUUAUCGCCGAAAGAUCGGCCCGCGUCUGAUUAGCUAGUUGGUGAGGUAACGGCUCACCAAGGCGACGAUCAGUAGCUGGUCUGAGAGGAUGAUCAGCCACACUGGGACUGAGACACGGCCCAGACUCCUACGGGAGGCAGCAGUGGGGAAUAUUGGACAAUGGGCGCAAGCCUGAUCCAGCCAUGCCGCGUGAGUGAUGAAGGCCUUAGGGUUGUAAAGCUCUUUUGUCCGGGAAGAUAAUGACUGUACCGGAAGAAUAAGCCCCGGCUAACUUCGUG